GAUGAAGAACGUAGUGAAAUGCGAUACGUAAUGUGAAUUGCAGAAUUCAGUGAAUCAUCGAAUCUUUGAACGCAUAUUGCGCUCUCUGGUAUUCCGGAGAGCAUGCUUGUUUGAGUAUCAGUAAACACCUCAAGCCAAGAGAUAUUAUUAAUAUCUCGAGACUUGGAAUUGAGUGAUCCUAACAAAGUCGUCUUUUUUGACGAUUGAGGCAGGUCACUUGAAAUUCAGGUGCAGCUGAACUUUUCUUCUGAGCUAAAAGCAUUAUUUUAUUUAGUCUUUAUUGACUAUUACUUUUUGCUGCAGCUAACAUAAAGGAAGAAGAGCUUCUUGAAUGCUGACUGAUGCAGGAAUUUAUCAGUUUUGUAACAAAGACUGUUAGACUCGAUCUCAAAUCAAGUAAGACUACCCGCUGAACUUAAGCAUAUCAAUAAGCGGAGGA
This 439-nucleotide unclassified non-coding RNA is filed under the name soil metagenome. Its description in RNAcentral is "partial contains 5.8S ribosomal RNA, internal transcribed spacer 2, and large subunit ribosomal RNA". The stretch from base 1 to 120 matches the Rfam family "5.8S ribosomal RNA", at positions 35 to 154 of the family's 154-position model. The record is from RNAcentral.